Molecule: ribosomal RNA, 326 nt
Filed under: uncultured bacterium
Lineage: Bacteria
Description: bacterial SSU rRNA
Rfam family: Bacterial small subunit ribosomal RNA
Source: RNAcentral
AACGAACGCUGGCGGCAUGCCUAACACAUGCAAGUCGAACGUGAUCCGGGACUUCGGUUUCGGUGAAAGUGGCGGACGGGUGAGUAACGCGUGGGAACCUGCCCAGUGGUAGGGGAUAACCGCGGGAAACUGCGGCUAAUACCCUAUGUGCCCUGCGGGGCAAAGAUUCAUCGCCAUUGGAGGGGCCCGCGUCGGAUUAGGUAGUUGGUGGGGUAAACGGCCUACCAAGCCUUCGAUCCGUAGCUGGUCUGAGAGGAUGAUCAGCCACACUGGGACUGAGACACGGCCCAGACUCCUACGGGAGGCAGCAGUGGGGAGUAUUGGAC